AAAUAAUUAAAGAAAUAGUAACAUAUCGCUGUGAAAUGUGAAACGAUUUCAGAAAAAAAAUAAGCUUGCACAAAAAUACUCAAAAGGUCAAAUAAACAAUAAGGUACAAUUUGAGAGUGCUCGCAGUAACUGUCAGCUACUUAAAAGCUAAACACAAUUAACAAUAAAACAUCAUGCACCAGACUAAAACCAACUAAAACACAUCCCAGGGAUUUGGUAUUUUCACGUCAUGGCCUGGACAGUCAAAGAAGAUAUGACUUGUGCCAUGCCAAAAAUAAGUGUAUCGACAGGUAGUUAUGAGUUAGCCCUUUUAUAGAUUCAAAUGAAC
Molecule: long non-coding RNA, 328 nt
Filed under: Mytilus galloprovincialis (Mediterranean mussel)
Lineage: Eukaryota; Metazoa; Mollusca; Bivalvia; Mytilida; Mytilidae
Source: RNAcentral